This 85-nucleotide transfer RNA is filed under the name Streptomyces purpurascens. Its description in RNAcentral is "tRNA-Met". The record is from RNAcentral. Lineage: Bacteria; Bacillati; Actinomycetota; Actinomycetes; Kitasatosporales; Streptomycetaceae.
UGGUGAUUGGCUUGUGGUUGAUGCUGGCGGCGUUCAUGGUGCCGCUGAGCGGAAAGUUGAGCUCGGUCACCACCGACAGCGCCGC